AAUACAUGUGCUGCUUUAAAAAGAGAGAGAGAGGCAAGCAGUACGCUGGGGCUCUUGCAAAUCAACACUGAUCUAACGUGUAGCCAAGAUGACAAGCCCUGCCCUCUCUCAGCGUGCGGAUUCCCCGCUUCUUUAUCCCUGGGCGAGUUGUGGCAGCCGGUGUGAGGUGACCGCCUGUUCUGAGCGACUCUCCCCGCCGGCCGGCCGAUGUUUGCUGUAUAAAUCGUGCAACGAUAUACGAUUGGGCGGAGGAGGGCAAUCUGAAAAGCAGUUGGGUACCUACAAAGGGAGGCUGCUCCAGCUGACAGAUCUCUCCUCCAUAUUCUCACAGGAGUUGCUGCUAGUGAGACUUCAGCUGUUUUAUUACUUUCGCGACUUAAAUGGACAUUUCCCGGCAGUACAUAUAAUCUCCAGGAGCUGCGUGUAAUCAGCUGUUUACUGUUUUCAUCACUAUUGUCACUGGGCAUGUUGUUUACCACUGAAAAGUGGUCACACUUUGGAGCAAUUUUUCAAGGGAUGUACAAUUACUUGCUGACUUUCUCAUGCAUUUGGAAUUAGAGCAACAGCUUGUUUGGUCGACUGAGGUGCCCGUGACAGCAAAAUGUACUGGCCAAGCCAAGGGCAGGAGCCUUCUAUGUUAAUUUCCCCCCUAAAGCUGUCCUGGCUUUAUUUUUUUCCUCACUUCCCUACAUCCCAAUAACUAAGAGGGCUUCUCCCACGGUGCAUUUCCACUUUACUUCUUGAUCCCCUUUUCGCCGGCUCGCUCGCUAACAUAUUGAGUUAUCUGGGCUGCUGAGAGCCCAUAUUAUUUCAAAGUUCUUUUUAAAAAAAGAAGGCUGAAGGGGCAGAGGGAGCCAUUCCUGCCUUUUACGGGAAGGUGCGGGCACCACCAGGCUUGGGGAGCUGCUCAGGAGUCCUGCCUUUUGCCUUGGGACCCAAGGGGCGAGUCGGGGUGUUUUGGGGACCGCUGGGCUCCUUUCCUGCCAGAAGCUCAGCAGAAAGGACCCUGCUCGCACAAAGUGGCCCACACGGCUCCCCCUUUCCCGCUCCGCUUUGUUUCCCUCCGCCCGGGGAAUCGUUUGGACACUGUGCCCCUCUCUCUCUUCUGCCUUCUCCCCUGCUCCGCAGGCCGCUUCCCUCCCGCCCCCGGGGAAGCUGAUCGCACGGCGGCUGCCCGCGCCCUGUUCCGGUGCUGCUCUUGCCCCGCUU
RNAcentral lists this long non-coding RNA (1209 nucleotides) under Chrysemys picta bellii (western painted turtle). RNAcentral's name for it is "lncRNA (ENSCPBG00000020896.1)". Lineage: Eukaryota; Metazoa; Chordata; Testudines; Emydidae. The record is from RNAcentral.